This 429-nucleotide ribosomal RNA is filed under the name uncultured archaeon. RNAcentral describes it as "bacterial SSU rRNA". It matches the Rfam family "Archaeal small subunit ribosomal RNA", at positions 474 to 903 of the family's 1478-position model. The record is from RNAcentral.
UACCAGCUCUCCGAGUGGUAGGGAUGAUUAUUGGGCUUAAAGCGUCCGUAGCCGGCUUGGCGAGUCUCCUGUUAAAUUCAGCGACCUAAUCGUUGACCCGCGGGAGAUACUACUAGGCUAGGAGGCGGGAGAGGCCGACGGUACUUCCGGGGUAGGGGUGAAAUCCUAUAAUCCCGGGAGGACCACCAGUGGCGAAGGCUGUCGGCCAGAACGCGCUCGACGGUGAGGGACGAAAGCUGGGGUAGCGAACCGGAUUAGAUACCCGGGUAGUCCCAGCUGUAAACUAUGCGGGCUAGGUGUUGGGGUGGCUACGAGCCACUUCAGUGCCGCAGGUAAGCCAUUAAGCCCGCCGCCUGGGGAGUACGGCCGCAAGGCUGAAACUUAAAGGAAUUGGCGGGGGAGCACCACAAGGCGUGAAGCUUGCGGUUC